This 1422-nucleotide ribosomal RNA is filed under the name Lactiplantibacillus plantarum. RNAcentral describes it as "bacterial SSU rRNA". It matches the Rfam family "Bacterial small subunit ribosomal RNA". Lineage: Bacteria; Bacillati; Bacillota; Bacilli; Lactobacillales; Lactobacillaceae. The record is from RNAcentral.
GCAAGUCGAACGAACUCUGGUAUUGAUUGGUGCUUGCAUCAUGAUUUACAUUUGAGUGAGUGGCGAACUGGUGAGUAACACGUGGGAAACCUGCCCAGAAGCGGGGGAUAACACCUGGAAACAGAUGCUAAUACCGCAUAACAACUUGGACCGCAUGGUCCGAGCUUGAAAGAUGGCUUCGGCUAUCACUUUUGGAUGGUCCCGCGGCGUAUUAGCUAGAUGGUGGGGUAACGGCUCACCAUGGCAAUGAUACGUAGCCGACCUGAGAGGGUAAUCGGCCACAUUGGGACUGAGACACGGCCCAAACUCCUACGGGAGGCAGCAGUAGGGAAUCUUCCACAAUGGACGAAAGUCUGAUGGAGCAACGCCGCGUGAGUGAAGAAGGGUUUCGGCUCGUAAAACUCUGUUGUUAAAGAAGAACAUAUCUGAGAGUAACUGUUCAGGUAUUGACGGUAUUUAACCAGAAAGCCACGGCUAACUACGUGCCAGCAGCCGCGGUAAUACGUAGGUGGCAAGCGUUGUCCGGAUUUAUUGGGCGUAAAGCGAGCGCAGGCGGUUUUUUAAGUCUGAUGUGAAAGCCUUCGGCUCAACCGAAGAAGUGCAUCGGAAACUGGGAAACUUGAGUGCAGAAGAGGACAGUGGAACUCCAUGUGUAGCGGUGAAAUGCGUAGAUAUAUGGAAGAACACCAGUGGCGAAGGCGGCUGUCUGGUCUGUAACUGACGCUGAGGCUCGAAAGUAUGGGUAGCAAACAGGAUUAGAUACCCUGGUAGUCCAUACCGUAAACGAUGAAUGCUAAGUGUUGGAGGGUUUCCGCCCUUCAGUGCUGCAGCUAACGCAUUAAGCAUUCCGCCUGGGGAGUACGGCCGCAAGGCUGAAACUCAAAGGAAUUGACGGGGGCCCGCACAAGCGGUGGAGCAUGUGGUUUAAUUCGAAGCUACGCGAAGAACCUUACCAGGUCUUGACAUACUAUGCAAAUCUAAGAGAUUAGACGUUCCCUUCGGGGACAUGGAUACAGGUGGUGCAUGGUUGUCGUCAGCUCGUGUCGUGAGAUGUUGGGUUAAGUCCCGCAACGAGCGCAACCCUUAUUAUCAGUUGCCAGCAUUAAGUUGGGCACUCUGGUGAGACUGCCGGUGACAAACCGGAGGAAGGUGGGGAUGACGUCAAAUCAUCAUGCCCCUUAUGACCUGGGCUACACACGUGCUACAAUGGAUGGUACAACGAGUUGCGAACUCGCGAGAGUAAGCUAAUCUCUUAAAGCCAUUCUCAGUUCGGAUUGUAGGCUGCAACUCGCCUACAUGAAGUCGGAAUCGCUAGUAAUCGCGGAUCAGCAUGCCGCGGUGAAUACGUUCCCGGGCCUUGUACACACCGCCCGUCACACCAUGAGAGUUUGUAACACCCAAAGUCGGUGGGGUAACCUUUAG